CAGCCGCCACGGUAACACGUAGGGUGCGAGCGUUAAUCGGAAUUACUGGGCGUAAAGCGUGCGCAGGCGGUUGUGUAAGACAGGUGUGAAAUCCCCGGGCUUAACCUAGGAACUGCGCUUGUGACUGCACAGCUAGAGUAUGGCAGAGGAGGGUGGAAUUCCACGUGUAGCAGUGAAAUGCGUAGAGAUGUGGAGGAACACCGAUGGCGAAGGCAGCCCCCUGGGCCAAUACUGACGCUCAUGCACGAAAGCGUGGGGAGCAAACAGGAUUAGAUACCCCUGUAGUCCCUGUCUCUUAUAC
Molecule: ribosomal RNA, 301 nt
Filed under: uncultured bacterium
Lineage: Bacteria
Description: partial 16S ribosomal RNA
Rfam family: Bacterial small subunit ribosomal RNA
Source: RNAcentral